UACGUAGGGAGCGAGCGUUGUCCGGAUUCAUUGGGCGUAAAGCGCGCGUAGGCGGUUUGGUAAGUCGGAUGUGAAAUCCCGAGGCUCAACCUCGUGACUGCAUCCGAUACUGCCCGACUAGAGGUAGGUAGGGGAGAUCGGAAUUCCUAGUGUAGCGGUGGAAUGCGUAGAUAUUAGGAAGAACACCAGUGGCGAAGGCGACUUUCUGGCCCGAUACUGACGCUGAGGUGCGAAAGCGUGGGGAGCAAACAGG
This 253-nucleotide ribosomal RNA is filed under the name uncultured bacterium. RNAcentral's name for it is "partial 16S ribosomal RNA". It matches the Rfam family "Bacterial small subunit ribosomal RNA", at positions 524 to 776 of the family's 1533-position model. The record is from RNAcentral.